RNAcentral lists this ribosomal RNA (91 nucleotides) under Klebsiella aerogenes. RNAcentral's name for it is "partial 23S ribosomal RNA". The stretch from base 1 to 78 matches the Rfam family "Bacterial large subunit ribosomal RNA", at positions 2848 to 2925 of the family's 2925-position model. The record is from RNAcentral. Lineage: Bacteria; Pseudomonadati; Pseudomonadota; Gammaproteobacteria; Enterobacterales; Enterobacteriaceae.
UGACGUUGAUAGGUCGGGUGUGUAAGCGUAGCGAUACGUUGAGCUAACCGAUACUAAUGAACCGUGAGGCUUAACCUUACAACGCCGAAGC